This 31-nucleotide ribosomal RNA is filed under the name Acacia jensenii. RNAcentral's name for it is "partial 18S ribosomal RNA". The record is from RNAcentral. Lineage: Eukaryota; Viridiplantae; Streptophyta; Magnoliopsida; Fabales; Fabaceae.
GGUUGAUCCUGCCAGUGUCAUUGCUCAUUUC